CAGCACCUCAAGUGGUCAGGAUGAUUAUUGGGCCUAAAGCAUCCGUAGCCGGCUCUGUAAGUUUUCGGUUAAAUCUGUAUGCUCAACAUACAGGCUGCCGGGAAUACUGCAGAGCUAGGGAGUGGGUGAGGUAGACGGUACUCGGUAGGAAGGGGUAAAAUCCUUUGAUCUAUUGAUGACCACCUGUGGCGAAGGCGGUCUACCAGAACACGUCCGACGGUGAGGGAUGAAAGCUGGGGGAGCAAACCGGAUUAGAUACCCGAGUAGUCC
RNAcentral lists this ribosomal RNA (270 nucleotides) under uncultured archaeon. RNAcentral's name for it is "partial 16S ribosomal RNA". It matches the Rfam family "Archaeal small subunit ribosomal RNA", at positions 477 to 747 of the family's 1478-position model. The record is from RNAcentral.